Molecule: ribosomal RNA, 726 nt
Filed under: uncultured bacterium
Lineage: Bacteria
Description: bacterial SSU rRNA
Rfam family: Bacterial small subunit ribosomal RNA
Source: RNAcentral
AGCGGCGAACGGGUGAGUAACACGUAGGUGAUCUGCCCAUCAGACGGGGACAACGAUUGGAAACGAUCGCUAAUACCGGAUAGGACGAAAGUUUAAAGGUGCUUCUGGCACCGCUGAUGGAUGAGCCUGCGGCGCAUUAGCUAGUUGGUAGGGUAAAGGCCUACCAAGGCGACGAUGCGUAGCCGACCUGAGAGGGUGAACGGCCACACUGGGACUGAGACACGGCCCAGACUCCUACGGGAGGCAGCAGUUGGGAAUCUUCGGCAAUGGGCGAAAGCCUGACCGAGCAACGCCGCGUGAAUGAUGAAGGCCUUCGGGUUGUAAAAUUCUGUUAUAAGGGAAGAACGACUUUAGUAGGAAAUGGCUAGAGUGUGACGGUACCUUAUGAGAAAGCCACGGCUAACUACGUGCCAGCAGCCGCGGUAAUACGUAGGUGGCGAGCGUUAUCCGGAAUUAUUGGGCGUAAAGAGCGCGCAGGUGGUUGAUUAAGUCUGAUGUGAAAGCCCACGGCUUAACCGUGGAGGGUCAUUGGAAACUGGUCGACUUGAGUGCAGAAGAGGGAAGUGGAAUUCCAUGUGUAGCGGUGAAAUGCGUAGAGAUAUGGAGGAACACCAGUGGCGAAGGCGGCUUCCUGGUCUGUAACUGACACUGAGGCGCGAAAGCGUGGGGAGCAAACAGGAUUAGAUACCCUGGUAGUCCACGCCGUAAACGAAGAGUGCUAAGUGU